RNAcentral lists this ribosomal RNA (253 nucleotides) under uncultured bacterium. RNAcentral describes it as "partial 16S ribosomal RNA". It matches the Rfam family "Bacterial small subunit ribosomal RNA", at positions 524 to 776 of the family's 1533-position model. The record is from RNAcentral.
GACAGAGGAGCCAAGCGUUGUCUGGAUUGACUGGGCGUAAAGCGCACGCAGGCGGAUGCGCGCGUGGGGUGUGAAAUCUGGCCGCUUAACGGCCAGGCGCCAUCCCAUACGGCGCGUCUGGAGUGAUGCAGAGGUCGAUGGAAUUGCCGGUGUAGUGGUGAAAUGCGUAGAGAUCGGCAGGAACACCCAGGGGGAAACCAGUCGACUGGGCAUCUACUGACGCUGAGGUGCGAGAGCGUGGGGAGCGAACCGG